This 783-nucleotide ribosomal RNA is filed under the name uncultured Neocallimastigales. RNAcentral describes it as "partial large subunit ribosomal RNA". It matches the Rfam family "Eukaryotic large subunit ribosomal RNA", at positions 18 to 635 of the family's 3401-position model. The record is from RNAcentral. Lineage: Eukaryota; Fungi; Neocallimastigomycota; Neocallimastigomycetes; Neocallimastigales.
UUCAGACGAUGCGUCAUGCAUAUCAAUAAGCGGAGGAAAAGAAACUAACAAGGAUUCCCUUAGUAACGGCGAGUGAAGCGGGAAGAGCUCAAAUUUGAAAUCUUCAAGGUUCUGACCUUGACGAAUUGUAGUUUAAAGAAGUGUUUUCGGUUAGAGGAGUUCGGUAAAAGUUCUUUGGAAUAGGACAUCAUAGAGGGUGAGAAUCCCGUAUUUGGUACCAUUCCUUUCUAGCUUUGUGAUACACUUUCAAAGAGUCGGAUUGUUUGGGAAUGCAGUCCAAAAUGGGUGGUAAAUUUCAUCUAAAGCUAAAUAUUGGCGAGAGACCGAUAGCGAACAAGUACCGUGAGGGAAGGAUGAAAAGAACUUUGAAAAGAGAGUUAAACAGUCACGCUGAAAUUGUCAAAAGGGAAGCGUUUGACACCAGCGUUGUUUUCUCGAAAAUCAAUUAAAAAGAGUUGGAUUUUGUGUUGUAUUGACCUUAACAGCUUGCUUCACUCUUUUCCUGCUUUUUUUAAUGCACUUUUCGUUUAACAAGUCAACAUCAGUUUCUUUUGUUGUAAAAGGGUCAUUGGAAGGUGGCUUUCUCUUCGGAGAAAGUGUUUAUAGCCUUUGAUCUCUGCAAUCGGAGAGACUGAGGUCUGCAGCGUAGAUCCUUCGGGGUUAGAUACAUUUGUGCUAAGCUACAGCUUUUCAUAGACAACUUGUUGACUAUGUUUAGUCUUGUAACUUACCCGCUUAUGCUAUUUUACCUACGCUUAGGAUGUUGAUAUGCAUGACUGAUAU